RNAcentral lists this long non-coding RNA (696 nucleotides) under Homo sapiens (human). RNAcentral describes it as "HSALNT0000625". Lineage: Eukaryota; Metazoa; Chordata; Mammalia; Primates; Hominidae. The record is from RNAcentral.
CUCAACGGUCAUCAUGGAAAGUGAAAACGACGGUGCGGCUCCUCCCACGGAGGAGAGACAAGCUCACAGGAAAUGCCGUCUAACGGGAUCUCUGGAUGGAGAAUUCCACAGCUGAUUGGAACCUAAACGAGAGAACCAAAUGGACAUCCCAGGGCUGCAGGAGCCACCCCAUCUAUGACUAAGACACCCUCCCACCUUCAUGCUACUGAGUGGACAAGCUUACAUGAAAUGACUGUUUUCACAUAUGUGGCACCAGGCAGCCCAGGGAUGCCGGUGAAAUCUCUGGGAGAACGGCAUGUUCCAGAGAGCCACAGCUUGCUCAGCCUGGACCCCAGAACGAAGGAGGCAUCAGAAGCUGAGCCACCCGUGGCCGACAAGAAACCUGAGUGGGAGGGGAAACUUGGUUGCUGUGAUCGACCCAGGCUUGCGAGUUGUUUUGGCAACACAGCCUAGCAAGAGCCGACCAAUAUGUCAUUGAUGAAAGAAAGUCAACAGGCGUGUAGAAGGAGCUGUCUACUGAGCAUGUCUGCACUUUUCUGAAUUAUGUUGCACUUGAGUAAAAAGUAAGCAAGCCUGUCUAUUUACUUUAAAUGAUGUGUGCCAGAUAUGUACAGUAUGCAGAGUUAAGAAGGUGCCACCCCAAAAUAGGCUGCUCUGGCAUAGUCACUAUUAGGAAUUAAAGGCAGUUAAAACAAU